This 534-nucleotide ribosomal RNA is filed under the name uncultured microorganism. Its description in RNAcentral is "bacterial SSU rRNA". It matches the Rfam family "Bacterial small subunit ribosomal RNA", at positions 9 to 524 of the family's 1533-position model. The record is from RNAcentral.
GAGUUUGAUCUUGGCUCAGGAUGAACGCUGGCGGCGUGCCUAAUACAUGCAAGUCGAACGAACAGAUAAGGAGCUUGCUCCUUUGACGUUAGCGGCGGACGGGUGAGUAACACGUGGGUAACCUACCUAUAAGACUGGGAAUAACUCCGGGAAACCGGGGCUAAUGCCGGAUAACAUGUUGAACCGCAUGGUUCUACAGUGAAAGACGGUCUUGCUGUCACUUAUAGAUGGACCCGCGCCGUAUUAGCUAGUUGGUGGGGUAACGGCCUACCAAGGCGACGAUACGUAGCCGACCUGAGAGGGUGAUCGGCCACACUGGAACUGAGACACGGUCCAGACUCCUACGGGAGGCAGCAGUAGGGAAUCUUCCGCAAUGGGCGAAAGCCUGACGGAGCAACGCCGCGUGAGUGAUGAAGGUCUUCGGAUCGUAAAGCUCUGUUGUUAGGGAAGAACAAAUGUGUAAGUAACUGUGCAUAUCUUGACGGUACCUAACCAGAAAGCCACGGCUAACUACGUGCCAGCCGCCGCCGUAAG